Xenia sp. Carnegie-2017 is the source of this 791-nucleotide long non-coding RNA. RefSeq lists it as uncharacterized. The transcript has 2 exons. NCBI's taxonomy places the organism in Eukaryota, Metazoa, Cnidaria, Anthozoa, Malacalcyonacea, Xeniidae. The record is from RefSeq and is a predicted model, not a curated record.
GUAACUUGAAAACUGGCUGUCAAUAUGUUGUAAAACAGAAAGAUAAACAAAACCAAGAAUGAGGAGAAACAACUUUACACCCUCAAGUCUGAUGGUGGUAAACAAAUUUUUUAAGAAUGAGGAGAAACAACGUUACACCCUUAAGUCUGAUGGUGGUAAACAACGUUUUUAAGAAUGAGGAGAAACAACUUUACACCCUCAAGUCUGAUGGUGGUAAACAAAUUUUUUAAGAAUGAGGAGAAACAACGUUACACCCUUAAGUCUGAUGGUGGUAAACAACUUUUUUAAGAAUGAGGAGAAACAACUUUACACCCUUAAGUCUGAUGGUGGUAAACAAAUUUUUUAAGAAUGAGGAGAAACAACUUUACACCCUUAAGUCUGAUGGUGGUAAACAACUUUUUUAAGAAUGAGGAGAAACAACUUUACACCCUUAAGUCUGAUGGUGGUAAACAAAUUUUUUAAGAAUGAGGAGAAACAACUUUACACCCUUAAGUCUGAUGGUGGUAAACAACGUUUUUAAGAAUGAGGAGAAACAACUUUACACCCUCAAGUUUGAUGGUGGUAAACAACUUUUUUAAGAAUGAGGAGAAACAACUUUACACCCUUAAGUCUGAUGGUGGUAAACAACUUUUUUAAGAAUGAGGAGAAACAACUUUACAUCCUCAAGCCUGAUGGUGGUAAACAACUUUUUUAAGAAUGAGGAGAAACAACUUUACACCCUUAAGUCUGAUGGUGGUUAACAACUUUUUUAAUAAUGAGGAGAAACAACUUUACAUCCUCAAGGCUGAUGG